GCCCCGGUGGCCGAAUGGGUAAUGCGGCCACCUGGUAGCGCCUUGGCGUGGGGACCCAAGGCGCGUGGGUUCGAAACCCGCAGGGGACAACAUUACAUCCGGAGCCAACUUUUCAGCUCCUUAAAUAAAGGAAUGUGAACUUGCCAAGUAGGUACCUUCGGGCGGACCUACUACCUGAUUUAGCUGAUUUUUCCUGGGCUGGGAACCUGUAUUGCAUGUACCAAAUCCUGUCUUUCAUUAAUUUUCCUAUGUUCCUGUUAUGUCUUGGCGUUGUUCAACACUAAGCAUUCCUCCUGUAUAACCAACUCUUGCCUGUAUUUAACAUCACACAAGGACUCGUCAUAAGCACUGCUUGCAUACGAGUAUAACGGAAGAAUAAUAAUAUAAUAAUAAUAACAAAAAUAUAGAAAUAAAAAUAGAAAAAUAAAAAUAAAAAUAAUAGUAAAAAUAUAAAAAUAAAAGUAAAAAUAA
Molecule: small RNA, 471 nt
Filed under: Histoplasma capsulatum var. duboisii H88
Lineage: Eukaryota; Fungi; Ascomycota; Eurotiomycetes; Onygenales; Ajellomycetaceae
Description: Histoplasma capsulatum H88 hypothetical RNA
Source: RNAcentral